Non-coding RNA from Pelobates cultripes (western spadefoot toad), 223 nucleotides. The record is from the annotation of a GenBank genome assembly. NCBI's taxonomy places the organism in Eukaryota, Metazoa, Chordata, Amphibia, Anura, Pelobatidae.
UGAGCACAAAGGAAUUCGUAUGAACCAUGUGAACGGCUCCACAAUCACUGGGAGGUAAAAUAUCAAUUAACUGUUCCCCUGGGUCGUCUGAUGUUCGGUAUUUUGGGCUGUAUGUUACAGUAGGAAUAUUUACACGAAAACUAGCCAUUCGGUUUUUGUUUGACACAUCCAGCAGCAUUGUUAUUUAAGUCCAGGCAAAAGUAUAGGCACAAUCAUAGUUCUG